Molecule: unclassified non-coding RNA, 269 nt
Filed under: uncultured fungus
Lineage: Eukaryota; Fungi
Description: sequence contains ITS1, 5.8S rRNA gene
Rfam family: 5.8S ribosomal RNA (bases 221-269)
Source: RNAcentral
UUUCCGUAGGUGAACCUGCGGAAGGAUCAUUAUUGAAUGAAUGUAGCGUUGGUUGUAGCUGGUCUUCUCUAGAAAUGUGCACGCCUUUUCUUUCAUCCACACACCCCUGUGCACCUGUGAGACGGAGGCUGUCCUCUUUUACUAGGGGCUGUUUCCGUCUGCCAAUACAUAAAACCAUAUUAUUAAAUCUGAAUGUAAUUGAUGUAACGCAUCUAAUACAAAGUUUCAACAACGGAUCUCUUGGCUCUCGCAUCGAUGAAGAACGCAGC